RNAcentral lists this long non-coding RNA (204 nucleotides) under Lathyrus oleraceus (garden pea). RNAcentral describes it as "Pisum sativum (pea) long non-coding RNA (PSAT_LNC020640)". The record is from RNAcentral. Lineage: Eukaryota; Viridiplantae; Streptophyta; Magnoliopsida; Fabales; Fabaceae.
UGUAAUUGGAGGUGUUUUGGUUAAUUUGUCAAUUUUCACUCAAAUGGCAAGGUUUGUGGUUACAGUUGCGAAAGUGGGCCUUGUACACACUCCAAAUAUGAUUUCUUAGCAAUUUCAAUUGGCAAAAUAUAUUGGAAGGGCUUAAAUUGCAAAAUCACUUUUUCACCUCACUUGAAAUAAUUCAAAUCACUUCAAAAAGUGCCA